AUAAUAGAGGCGCAGGUAAAAUCAUUACCGUUUCUGAGGCUCUCAAAGGCCUGUGAAGAAAAGGGAAAGGGUUAUCUGCCGAAGCUGAAGGCAGUUUGAGGUGCCGGAUGCUGGGCGUCGGGAGAAGAUCCUGACGACUGUCGCAGAAAUGCGGAGUGCUAUUGU
RNAcentral lists this non-coding RNA (165 nucleotides) under bovine gut metagenome. Its description in RNAcentral is "Lysine riboswitch". It matches the Rfam family "Lysine riboswitch aptamer". From Rfam's summary of the family: Riboswitches are metabolite binding domains within certain messenger RNAs that serve as precision sensors for their corresponding targets. Allosteric rearrangement of mRNA structure is mediated by ligand binding, and this results in modulation of gene expression. This family includes riboswitches that sense lysine in a number of genes involved in lysine metabolism, including lysC. The record is from RNAcentral.